Molecule: ribosomal RNA, 253 nt
Filed under: uncultured bacterium
Lineage: Bacteria
Description: partial 16S ribosomal RNA
Rfam family: Bacterial small subunit ribosomal RNA
Source: RNAcentral
UACGUAGGGUGCAAGCGUUGUCCGGAAUUAUUGGGCGUAAAGAGCUCGUAGGCGGUUUGUCGCGUCUGCUGUGAAAACCCGAGGCUCAACCUCGGGCCUGCAGUGGGUACGGGCAGACUAGAGUGCGGUAGGGGAGAUUGGAAUUCCUGGUGUAGCGGUGGAAUGCGCAGAUAUCAGGAGGAACACCAAUGGCGAAGGCAGAUCUCUGGGCCUUACCUGACGCUCAGGUGCGAAAGCUAGGGGAGCGAACAGG